GCGCGGGUGGCGAAACUGGUAGACGCACUACUUUGAGGUGGUAGCGCCGCAAGGCAUGGAGGUUCAAAUCCUCUCCCGCGCACUA
RNAcentral lists this transfer RNA (85 nucleotides) under Candidatus Magasanikbacteria bacterium CG10_big_fil_rev_8_21_14_0_10_36_32. RNAcentral describes it as "tRNA-Leu". It matches the Rfam family "tRNA". Rfam says of the family: Transfer RNA (tRNA) molecules are approximately 80 nucleotides in length. Their secondary structure includes four short double-helical elements and three loops (D, anti-codon, and T loops). Lineage: Bacteria; Candidatus Magasanikiibacteriota. The record is from RNAcentral.